Non-coding RNA from Heterocephalus glaber (naked mole-rat), 4300 nucleotides. The record is from RefSeq and is a predicted model, not a curated record. NCBI's taxonomy places the organism in Eukaryota, Metazoa, Chordata, Mammalia, Rodentia, Bathyergidae.
ACAAGCCAGGGCUCCUAGGUUCAUCUUCUGCUCAUGUCGCGUUGAUGAGAACUCAGUCUCAUGGAACCAGCCUGAGUGCACUCUCAUUUGCCAGAAUAAAAGGAAACAAUGAACUUCAGAGCCAGAGCCCUACUUCCUGCAGCUCCCAGUGAUGGGUAUUCACUGAAAGGCACCAACAGACACCAGAUACCACGGUUGCUCUAGACACUGUAUCUCCGGGACUAGGGAAAGUUAAGAGGACCAGAUCUCAGUUUUCCCCAGGAAAGGCUGGCCGAGGCUCAACUCCAUCUUCGGAGGGACCCAAGAGACCCAGGCAGGGUCAGUAGCAGUGGAAACCUGUCUUGCUCACUGGCAGGCCAACCCCACCUUGGUUUGCACAGAGAUGCAUGAGCUGUGGCUCCAGGAAGGCUGCUGAAGAUGGCUGAGCCAGGACCCAGGGGCUUUUCCCAGCCUCGCUCAGGAGCUGAGAGGCUGAGGCCACACGCACUCUGAGAAAGAGCCCCCUCCUGAGGAGAUGCCUACAGCAGGGACCCUGGAGGAAGCCGAGGCCACACGCCACUCCAGAAACCAGCUCUACCAGGACACAGCAACCUGCAGAGUCUUAGCCAGGAGGCAAGAGGGCAGCUCAGGGCCCAGCUGUUGAUUCAAGGCAGAGGGAUUGGUGUGUCAGGCUUUUAUUCUGAUACUGGUGAGCCAAAGCUGCAAGUCAAGUCCGUGAGAGUAACGGAGAUGUUCUCUGGUCAGCUGGGCCCGGUCCUGUUUUUCCAUUCAGAAAUCCUUACUUGCUCCAGCCCCUGGGAACCCUGGGCUCUGCUUUUCUGUUAGGUCUGAAUGCUGCCCUCAUCCACCCCUGCUAUUUUUUAGGCCAUUUGCCCUACCUGUCUGAGACCAACACACACACGCACACACACGCACGCACACACACACACACACACUCUGCUCACCUACCUCCCAUUCUGCUAUUCUGAGCACUGCCCUACAGCUGACCACCCCCUCUGAGCCCACCACACUCUGGCCCUGUGCCAACCUUGGUUGUAUUAAGACAUCCUUCCAGCACAAGUUUCACAGAAGAAACACUGGGAUGCUGCUGUUUUUAGCCACAUCCAGGAGGGGAGAGGAGGAAAGCACGGGAAAUCGUAUUCCUGUAGAGACUGUAGAAGUCAUACCUGGGGCCAGCAGGAGACUGAGGAAGCUCCCAAAUGAACUGGGCACUGUUUCCCCUCGAGAAACUGCUGCUCUCUUGGCCUGAUGCACUUCUGCUAGACUCCUAACUCAGAAGGUUGCAGCCCCCAUUUUGACUAGUGAUCGGCUGGCAGGGACAGAAUGUAAAUUGACAACUCAUGUUAAAUGAAGUCACUUUCUCCUGCUCAGAGGCUCUGGAAAGUGUCACGGAAUAUCCGUGCAGGUGUUUUCUUUCCCUGAUUGAUAUUAGCAUCAUUUGUUUCCAGCAGGAAACAGAGAAAGAGCGACUGCAUCCCUGCCAGCCUGCUGCAGCUCAAGUCCACCUCCCUGUAUUCACAGCCCCAAGCUAAUCAGAUCAGAAGCCCCAGCCCAGCAUCCCUGGCAGGGAGAGGCAUCCGAUGGAGCUGCUCAUUAACAGUAGCUGCCUGCCUUCCCCUUAUUCUCCCCAGGACCCAGAAUCAGAGCCUUUGUUGUCCAGGGAAUUAGGAAUGAAGGUUUCUGCUGACCAAACCACAGGGGACCAGGCUAGGCUGAGAUUCACCUUCUGUGUUUCCGUGUGAUACAUUGCUGCGGGCAUGCACGCAUGCGCGCACACACACAUACACACACACAAACAAGCCUCCCUAAGCCUGGAUGCUCAGCAGCGCCAAAAAGUUUAUAUUAAGCCCCUAUUAUAUGCAGGCCACUGAAGUUGGUGUGCUCUAAAAGGCUUGAGUGAGAAUUCAAGCAACAAAAAGCAAACAAUCCCCCCAAGCACAGCCUCGCUAGGAAGAUGUUUAUAAAAUGCUAAACUGUAACACCAUGGACAGAAAACAGGCUUGGAAUUCCUGUUCUGCCUCCAUCCUUGUAGUGUGGGGCAAGAAGCCAGCGUGACAACCCACAGCGCUAACACUACGGUGCGAAGCACCCCCGUCUAGUAACCGAGGACCACCCGCCUGUUCACCCUCCUAUCUCCGUCUCAGCACUAGGUCAGGUAGGGAGAGCAGGAAGUGAAAUUACCAUUUUGUGGAUGGAAGUAGGAAGAUCAGUGAGGUGGGGUGAUUUAAGGUUUCCUAGCCAGUCAGUUCAGCUGGCCCCAUCUGCCAUCCCACAGCUGACCUGAGAAAUACCCUCAGGACUGUGGGGCCUCACAACUAUUCUCAGCUCAUCCUCAUGAGUGUUCCCCUAAAGUGGUCCCAGAACAUGGCUUGGAACCGAUUGGAGUGAGUGCUCUUUGGGCACCUUGACAUUUUUACCAAAUCAUCCCUGCUCAUCUCAAAAUGUUGCUUUCUGAGAUAGCUGGGUUGUAGCAGGCUCCACUUGACCUCCCUGGCCACAGACCUGUCCCGCCACACCAGGCCAGCCGCUGGGUUUUUUCUGCACUUGGCCCUUGUGAUCGCAGAGUACCUCAAGGUGCUAAGACUCCAGAGAUUGGCCACUGACAGCCUGCUGGGGCUUGGUGGGAAACCUCGUGGGCUCUGACAGCAAUCUAGAGGUCUCCAUCCCUCCCAUCAGAUGAAAUGCUGUACUCAAAGCCUCUCCCAACCCAGCACCUGCUUUGCCUGAGCUACAGUACAGUUUCCAAGGCUUUGUUGCUCACAUACAAGAAAUAUUUGCUCAUCGAAAAUCCUACAGAGCUUGACAGAGUCUGGAAGCGACGCGGUACUCUGUACCACACUGGAGAGCUGCUCUGCUCCUCUGAGCCACCUGCUUGCCCUUCUCAGGUGCUAUUUUGAUUCAUAUUGUCAUUUUGAAAAAAAAACCUAGGCUACCAAAAAUGAUAAAACCUACAGCUCCCAAUCCUACCACCUCCUAGUCCUCAACCUAGCCCUCUUCUCCCAGCCCUGCCAGAACAGCAUGGAAAAGCCUGUGCUUCUGGAAUGGAGGACAGGGGUCACCUCUUUUCUGUCCCCAGAAUUGUCCCUUCAGGAGGAAGACCCUGCCAGAAGGCUCCCUGCUUUGGGAGGCUUUCAUAGAUCAAUAGGCCAUGCUGUGGCCACUUUAUUGUACCAAAGUGCUCUCGGAUGUAUGGUGGUCAAAAAAGAGAGAGGUGGAUAGGGCGGGGACUUCAAGAGCCCAUUAAUUACAGGGAAAUGCUGGCUGAUCAGUCAUAGGGACCACUGAGGGCCAGGAACUGACUCCAGGGAGUGAGAGCUGUCUGCCUCCUUUGUGGUUCACUGCUCUCCUGGAGAAAAGGAUGUUUCCAGUUUCAGUCCAGUGAAUGAGUCUGUGUGUACUGGCAGGACUCGCGGGUGGUCAGAGUUUGCCUGAGGAGCUAGGGAGGUUUGUCAGUCUGGUCUGACCAGGCCUUCAUAGCUAGAGGUAGAAGGAGAACAGGGCUCCAGGACCCCAUCACAACAGAGCCAGAGAACCACAACAUGCAGUGGACAGAAAUGAAGCCUGUGGCCUUCUGGCUCCAUCUCUAAAAUGCUGAGCAGCCAAGUACAUUAAAGGGAGAGAGAAGGACACUGUCAAGGGUGAAAGGAAGGAGCAUUCCGAGUCACACUGGUCUUCCUGGGUAGCCAGUAGGCUGUUCUGCUGUCCUUUAAAAAAAUUUCUCCCCAAGGUAAACCACUGCUUUACUGCUUCCAGAUUUGGCUCAAAUAAACACACACACACACACACACACACACACAUGUUUACAUGCAUAUGCUUGAAUCAGAACUCCCAAUUUUGUGUGUUCAGAGUGAUGACUUGUGGCUUGGCAGAACUGAGGAUAAGCUAGGGUAGGCAGGACUGUGAGCUGGGCAUGGCACCCCAGUGAAAUGUCACCCUCACCAAUCAUAGCAGGCAAGAUUACAACUGCCAAACCUGGCCAGGGUGGACACAGCCACACCACACUGUGGCCUUUGUCCUCCCUAAACCCUUCCUCACACUCAGCAGUCAGCCUGGGGUCCCACUUCACUGGGACCAUCCAAGCCAUCACCUCAGCUGCUCAUCCCUGAGCAGCAACCCUUUCCAUCCAGCCCUGUCCCUUCCUGUCACCAGGUUGUGGGACCUGUGCCAGUAGGAGAGGCCAGUUCUUCCCAUUAUGCUCAAGACCCCAUCCUUCCCACUUCUCCAAGGCCUUAAUAUCAUCAUUGCCUUGACCUCUGUCUUCUGGACCUUAAAGUUCUCUACCCUCUUACAUCUGUCUUAU